RNAcentral lists this transfer RNA (93 nucleotides) under bacterium. RNAcentral's name for it is "tRNA-Ser". It matches the Rfam family "tRNA". From Rfam's summary of the family: Transfer RNA (tRNA) molecules are approximately 80 nucleotides in length. The record is from RNAcentral. RNAcentral also lists the same sequence under 1 other name.
GGAGAGAUGGCCGAGCUGGCUGAAGGCACUCGCCUGCUAAGCGAGUAAACUGAGAGAUCGGUUUCGAGGGUUCGAAUCCCUCUCUCUCCGCCA